RNAcentral lists this ribosomal RNA (380 nucleotides) under uncultured bacterium. Its description in RNAcentral is "bacterial SSU rRNA". It matches the Rfam family "Bacterial small subunit ribosomal RNA", at positions 30 to 407 of the family's 1533-position model. The record is from RNAcentral.
AUUGAACGCUGGCGGCAUGCUUUACACAUGCAAGUCGAACGGCAGCACGGGGGCGAACCCUGGUGGCGAGUGGCGAACGGGUGAGUAAUGCAUCGGAACGUAUCUUCAAGUGGGGGAGUAACGCACCGAAAGGUGUGCUAAUACCGCAUAAUCUCUACGGAGAAAAGCAGGGGAUCGCAAGACCUUGCGCUUUUGGAGCGGCCGAUGUCUGAUUAGCUAGUUGGGAGGUAAAGGCUUACCAAGGCUUCGAUCAGUAGCUGGUCUGAGAGGACGACCAGCCACACUGGGACUGAGACACGGCCCAGACUCCUACGGGAGGCAGCAGUGGGGAAUUUUUGGACAAUGGGGGAAACCCGUGAUCCAGCCAUGCCGCGUGAGUG